RNAcentral lists this transfer RNA (71 nucleotides) under Labyrinthula sp. RNAcentral describes it as "tRNA-Gly". It matches the Rfam family "tRNA". Rfam says of the family: Transfer RNA (tRNA) molecules are approximately 80 nucleotides in length. Their secondary structure includes four short double-helical elements and three loops (D, anti-codon, and T loops). Lineage: Eukaryota; Bigyra; Labyrinthulida; Labyrinthulaceae. The record is from RNAcentral.
ACGGGUAUGAUGUAGGGGUAACAUAUCAGCCUUCCAAGCUGAAUAGGAGGGUUCGAUUCCCUCUAUCCGUA